Molecule: ribosomal RNA, 487 nt
Filed under: uncultured bacterium
Lineage: Bacteria
Description: bacterial SSU rRNA
Rfam family: Bacterial small subunit ribosomal RNA
Source: RNAcentral
GACGAACGCUGGCGGCGUGCUUAAUACAUGCAAGUCAACUUGACUUUAGAUAGCAAUAUCGAAAAGUAGGGUGGCGCACGGGUGCGUAACGCGUAGGUAAUCUGCCCUGAGGUCUGACAUAACCCGUCGAAAGGCGGGCUAACAUCAGAUGAUAUAUAAUCACGACAUCGUGGAAAUAUCAAAUCUUCGGAGCCUUGGGAUGAGCCUGCGUCUGAUUAGGUAGUUGGCGGAGUAAUAGCCCACCAAGCCUACGAUCAGUAGCUGGUCUGAGAGGAUGAUCAGCCACACUGGAACUGAGACACGGUCCAGACUCCUACGGGAGGCAGCAGUAAGGAAUAUUGCUCAAUGGGGGGAACCCUGAAGCAGCAACGCCGCGUGAAGGAUGAAGUACUUUUGUAUGUAAACUUCUGUAAGAUGGGAAAAAUAUUCUCCUCGGGAGAAUUGAUUGUACCAUCAGAGUAAGCCCCGGCUAACUACGUGCCAGCAG